CGUGCCCGCUGGCGGUAGGCCUAACACAUGCAAGUCGAACGGCAGCACAGUAAGAGCUUGCUCUUACGGGUGGCGAGUGGCGGACGGGUGAGGAAUACAUCGGAAUCUACUUUUUCGUGGGGGAUAACGUAGGGAAACUUACGCUAAUACCGCAUACGACCUACGGGUGAAAGCAGGGGAUCUUCGGACCUUGCGCGAUUGAAUGAGCCGAUGUCGGAUUAGCUAGUUGGCGGGGUAAAGGCCCACCAAGGCGACGAUCCGUAGCUGGUCUGAGAGGAUGAUAAGCAAUACUGGAAAGGAGAGAAGGUUCAGAGUACGACGGGAGGAAGCAGUGGGGAAGAUUGGACAAGGGGCGCAAGAUUGAUCCAGCCAUACCGCGUGGGUGAAGAAGGACUUAGGGUUGUAAAGUCCUUUUGUUGGGAAAGAAAAGCAGCAGGUUAAUAACCCGCUGUUCUGAGGGGGCCAAAAGGAUGAGCAGGGGGUGGGUUGGUG
RNAcentral lists this ribosomal RNA (492 nucleotides) under uncultured bacterium. RNAcentral's name for it is "partial 16S ribosomal RNA". It matches the Rfam family "Bacterial small subunit ribosomal RNA", at positions 30 to 507 of the family's 1533-position model. The record is from RNAcentral.